GGAAGGAGGGUCUUAUUUGGUCUGUACUUUGGGGCUCGAAAGAGCGUUUAUCUUGUUGUGCUUUGCAGGGAGAGGAUGGUACGUGGAUCUGCUCCGUGUUGACGGUUGGUCCAUUCACCACGGUCUAGACCUCUACUUAAGAGGUUGUUAUAAUCUAUUUGUGUUGCUUUUAAUUUUCAUAUUACCUAUUAAGGUAGACCUCCAUUUUAUGGAUAAACUAGUUAGGUUUAUGUCCUCCAAUUUUUUUUUUAUGUAUUUUUCCCCCC
Molecule: long non-coding RNA, 266 nt
Filed under: Medicago truncatula (barrel medic)
Lineage: Eukaryota; Viridiplantae; Streptophyta; Magnoliopsida; Fabales; Fabaceae
Description: long non-coding RNA (MTRU_LNC004901)
Source: RNAcentral